Molecule: long non-coding RNA, 234 nt
Filed under: Lathyrus oleraceus (garden pea)
Lineage: Eukaryota; Viridiplantae; Streptophyta; Magnoliopsida; Fabales; Fabaceae
Description: Pisum sativum (pea) long non-coding RNA (PSAT_LNC015544)
Source: RNAcentral
GGGUUGUUUGGUUUAGGGUUAGGAAGUAAUGGUGGAUUUGUGGGGUUUCGAGGUGUGGAAUUUGGGCCAGGGAAAUGGUACGGCUUGUUGACGGUGGAAUUGUUAGAUUGGUUUAGGGUUAGGAAGUAAUGGUGGAUUUGUGGGGUUUCGAGGUGUGGAAUUUGGGCCAGGGAAAUGGUACGGCUUGUUGACGGUGGAAUUGUUAGGUUUUGGUGGUGGUGUAGGGCAGUAUUU